GUACGGAGGAUGCAAGCGUUAUCCGGAUUUAUUGGGUUUAAAGGGUGCGUAGGCGGAUGAUUAAGCGUGAGGUGAAAUGCCACUGCUCAACAGUGGAACUGCCUCGCGAACUGGUUGUCUUGAAUGCUCCUGCCGUGGGAGGAAUGUGUGGUGUCGCGGUGAAAUGCAUAGAGAUCACACAGAACAACGAUUGCGAAGGCAUCUCACGAAGGGGUGAUUGACGCUGAGGCACGAAAGCGUGGGGAUCAAACAGGAUUAGAUACCCUGGUAGUCCACGCAGUAAACGAUGAUAACUAACCGCUGGGUCGUAGUGAUUCAGUGGCCAAGCGAAAGCGAUAAGUUAUCCACCUGGGGAGUACGACCGCAAGGUUGAAACUCAAAUGAAUUGACGGGG
RNAcentral lists this ribosomal RNA (394 nucleotides) under uncultured bacterium. Its description in RNAcentral is "partial 16S ribosomal RNA". It matches the Rfam family "Bacterial small subunit ribosomal RNA", at positions 523 to 918 of the family's 1533-position model. The record is from RNAcentral.